This 482-nucleotide ribosomal RNA is filed under the name uncultured bacterium. Its description in RNAcentral is "partial 16S ribosomal RNA". It matches the Rfam family "Bacterial small subunit ribosomal RNA", at positions 28 to 523 of the family's 1533-position model. The record is from RNAcentral.
GACGAACGCUGGCGGCGUGCUUAACACAUGCAAGUCGAACGAUGAAGCCCAGCUUGCUGGGUGGAUUAGUGGCGAACGGGUGAGUAACACGUGGGCAACCUGCCCCAAACUCUGGGAUAACUCCUCGAAAGUGGUGCUAAUACCGGAUACGAACUAGACAGACAUCUGUACUAGUUGGAAAGUUUUUGGGUUUGGGAUGGGCACGCGGCCUAUCAGCUUGUUGGUGAGGUACCGGCUUUACGAGGCUACGGCGGGUGACCGGCCUGAGAGGGCGACCGGUCACACUGGGACUGAGACACGGGCCAGACUCCUACGGGAGGCAGCAGUGGGGAAUAUUGCGCAAUGGGCGAAAGCCGGACGCAGCGAAGCCGCGUGAGGGAUGAAGGUCUUCGGAUCGUAAACCUCUUUCAGUAGGGACGAAGCGAAAGUGACGGUACCUAAAGAAGAAGCACCGGCUAACUACGUGCCAGCAGCCGCCGCCG